This 352-nucleotide unclassified non-coding RNA is filed under the name soil metagenome. RNAcentral describes it as "partial contains 5.8S ribosomal RNA, internal transcribed spacer 2, and large subunit ribosomal RNA". The stretch from base 1 to 120 matches the Rfam family "5.8S ribosomal RNA", at positions 35 to 154 of the family's 154-position model. The record is from RNAcentral.
GAUGAAGAACGCAGCGAAAUGCGAUAAGUAGUGUGAAUUGCAGAAUUCAGUGAAUCAUCGAAUCUUUGAACGCACAUUGCGCCCGCCAGUGUUCUGGCGGGCAUGCCUGUUCGAGCGUCAUUACAACCCUCAGGCCCCCGGGCCUGGCGUUGGGGAUCGGCGGAGCCCCCCGUGGGCACACGCCGUCCCCCAAAUACAGUGGCGGUCCCGCCGCAGCUUCCAUCGCGUAGUAGCUAACACCUCGCGACUGGAGAGCGGCGCGGCCACGCCGUAAAACACCCAACUCUUCUGAAGUUGACCUCGAAUCAGGUAGGAAUACCCGCUGAACUUAAGCAUAUCAAUAAGCGGAGGA